AUUGAACGCUGGCGGCAUGCUUUACACAUGCAAGUCGAACGGUAACAGGCCGCAAGGUGCUGACGAGUGGCGAACGGGUGAGUAAUGCAUCGGAACGUGCCCAGUCGUGGGGGUAAACUACUGGAAGGGGUAGCUAAAACGGCAUAGGACCUAGGGUGGAAAGGGGGGGCCGUUAGGCCCUGCGGGGAUGGAGGCGGCGAUGUCAGAUUAGGUAGUUGGUGGGGUAAAGGCUCACCAAGCCAACGAUCUGUAGCUGGUCUGAGAGGACGACCAGCCACACUGGGACUGAGACACGGCCCAGACUCCUACGGGAGGCAGCAGUGGGGAAUUUUGGACAAUGGGCGCAAGCCUGAUCCAGCAAUGCCGCGUGCAGGAAGAAGGCCUUCGGGUUGUAAACUGCUUUUGUACGGAACGAAACGGCUCUGGUUAAUACCCGGGGCUAAUGACGGUACCGUAAGAAUAAGCACCGGCUAACUACGUG
RNAcentral lists this ribosomal RNA (481 nucleotides) under uncultured bacterium. Its description in RNAcentral is "partial 16S ribosomal RNA". It matches the Rfam family "Bacterial small subunit ribosomal RNA", at positions 29 to 507 of the family's 1533-position model. The record is from RNAcentral.